UACGAAGGGGGCUAGCGUUGCUCGGAAUCACUGGGCGUAAAGCGCACGUAGGCGGCUUUCUAAGUCAGGGGUGAAAUCCUGGAGCUCAACUCCAGAACUGCCUUUGAUACUGGAGAGCUUGAGUCCGGGAGAGGUGAGUGGAACUCCGAGUGUAGAGGUGAAAUUCGUAGAUAUUCGGAAGAACACCGGUGGCGAAGGCGGCCCACUGGCUCGAUACUGACGCUGAGGUGCGAAAGCGUGGGGAGCAAACAGG
Molecule: ribosomal RNA, 253 nt
Filed under: uncultured bacterium
Lineage: Bacteria
Description: partial 16S ribosomal RNA
Rfam family: Bacterial small subunit ribosomal RNA
Source: RNAcentral